Long non-coding RNA from Octodon degus (degu), 148 nucleotides. RefSeq lists it as uncharacterized. Lineage: Eukaryota; Metazoa; Chordata; Mammalia; Rodentia; Octodontidae. The transcript is spliced from 3 exons. The record is from RefSeq and is a predicted model, not a curated record.
CAGUGAUUUUGACAAUGUUUGCUCUCCAACAACAUGGGCAAAGAGAAGCUGUAUAGGUUGUGAGGGCUUGAAGGCAACAGCUAUGACAACUCAACUAGAGACACUCAUGAAAGAGGAUUUCCAGAACUUCUUCUUUGCAGAUGCCAAG